This 2020-nucleotide long non-coding RNA is filed under the name Ooceraea biroi (clonal raider ant). RNAcentral describes it as "uncharacterized LOC113562936". The record is from RNAcentral. Lineage: Eukaryota; Metazoa; Arthropoda; Insecta; Hymenoptera; Formicidae.
GUAAAAACUGCAAAAGAAUAUAUUUAAUUUUAAGAUUCGUUUAUUGGAUUAAAAUUGAGAUCCAACAUCUCUUUAAAAAUUGUGGUUAUUGACAAUGGAAAUAAAAUAAAGGAUAUAAUGAAUCUUUUCCAAGUGACUUCAGAAGUGUAAUAAAAAAGAAUGAAUAGAAAACAGCUUUUGUUCUAAUCAUUAAAGCAGAGAAUAUACGCAUGCCCGGUCACUCUGCGCUGUCCCUGUACACCGCCGGUAUGACAGAUUUCCUAACCUCGAAACUCAUUUUUCAGUACGUUCUAACUUUGGUCACAGUAUAAGGAUAUACGGUAGGGACAAGCACCCGUUUUCGAGUCAGCCGCGCAGAUUUGCUUGCGCAUCCCAAGCGGCCAUGUUCUCGGGCGGCUUCCAAUCCCGUUCAAAGUAAAGAACGCACGUUAUCUCCGUAACUGUGAUCACAUAUAGAUAGAGAAACAUAACCAAACAUAAAAAUUCGCAUUUGUAUUGUAUUGUUUGUUUUGUGCUUUUGUUAAAAACAAUGUCUAAGAGAAUGCAUCGAGUGCGGUGCAAAAUUGUUUUCACAAUGAUUCACAGUGAUAAUAUAUCAUUUUUUCGCUUUCCAAAAGAGAAAGAAAGCGGUGGUUUCUAAUAUUAUUGAUACGCUACUUGCCGCCCGAAGACAUGGCGGAUCGGCUGAAAAAGAUCAAAGGUGCCGACGCUCUUUGUCCCUACUGUAUAUCAUUAUACUGUGCUUUGGUUCUACUUGAGAGCGACGAUUUUCCUUCUCGCAAUCUUUUUUUAGGACCAAAAUAUACAUUUCUACAAAGUUAGAAGGAAAUCGGUGAGGAGGACCCGUCUCCCUCAGUUUUACCGAAUAUUAUCACAUAACGUCGUAAAUAUAAUAGUUCACUGUUCAAAUUUGCAGUGUCGUGAUUUCGUGUAUUUAUUCCAGUUUACCCGGCGCCACUUGGUUCUUUUUAAAUGCCGCGCACAAUUGUACAGCAAGCACCAUCUAUCCAAGGAAGACUGAAACGCCUGGUAGGUUGCCGGUAAGCGAUAGGAAAUGUCGAUAAGUCGAUUAGUCAAUUUCGUGAUUGAACCGUAUUGUUAUUAAAACAUAACGCGACUUCGAGAAAUACAAAUUUCCAAAAUUUAAGAGUUACAAUACAGAACAAUCAGAAAUAAGAUAAUAAAAUUUAUAUUAUCGCAUUCUUUACCCUCGAAUUAGAUUACGAUCGUGAAUCAUUUUGUUCGAAUCGAACAAAGGCGGCGAGAACACAGAAUCCAAUUUUCGCUCUCUGUGCGAUAAUAAUACAAAAAACAUUUUAAUCAUUUUAAGAACAAGACUAAUAAAUCAGACAAGAAUAUCAGACGAACGGAAUUGUGAAAAAUAUGGUUCUCUUUUAUUCGUCGGAUUGGACCUGCGUAACAAUUCGGUUCAAUAAUGACGAGAAUAUAUCGGCAAUUUGCGUAAGAAGUCCAACGUAAUAACCGACAUCGGCGCACGAAACAAAGAAGUUCACUUUUCCCGGUUCAGCGAGUGUUGUCGGAAAUUAUGCGACGCAAUAUGCAUAACGGAUAACACCGGUAGGUUCGCGCGAUAACCCGACUAUCAAUCGUCGUCCCAGUUUCCGCGUCAGUACGUCGGAAUAAAGCGCACUAGCCACCAGUGUAUCAAACAUAUAAAAAAAACACCGCAUCGCACUUCUAUCGAUAACGUAUCGGACUUAUAAUUAACAACGAACGUCUCGAGCGCGCGAAUGAGUGAUCGAGUUAUUAAGAAUUUCUUUAUUUUCCGUUUCCGUAUAAGAGAUCGGUUUGCCUAGCAAACAACGGCCCAACCCUGGAUUACUACCCGAAGUACACACAGUCAAUUAUAAUUUUCCGCAUAGCUUAAAUUAUAAUCUUACUAAUAAUUAUUAUAAUAAUCUAUCAUACGCUGGUUUUGCACUCGUUCGACACUAAAAGUAAGACUUGUUUCAGUCUUGAGUAAAGUCCUGCAAGAUACCUCGGGUAAUAAUAAAAAAAA